GGUUGUCUAGCUUAGUUGGUAGAGCGUGAAGCUCUUAACCUUAUGGUUGUGGGUUCGAGCCUCACGGUGGGUG
Molecule: transfer RNA, 73 nt
Filed under: Zea mays
Lineage: Eukaryota; Viridiplantae; Streptophyta; Magnoliopsida; Poales; Poaceae
Rfam family: tRNA
About the family: Transfer RNA (tRNA) molecules are approximately 80 nucleotides in length. Their secondary structure includes four short double-helical elements and three loops (D, anti-codon, and T loops).
Source: Rfam by way of RNAcentral